AAUAAGUUCAAAUAUGCAUGAAAUGAUGAAUUAAAGAACUUCCCUUGAUUGCAUUUGAUCAUGGGCUUAGGUUGCUUCAAGAGCUAGGCAUUGUGGUGCACAGAUGAAUUAGGGUUUCCUUGGGGAACAAGCCUCAAACCUUUUGACUUGCCUUGAUCAAAAUGAUGAAUUGAGAUGUUAGGGAGGCAUAUUUGAUGGAUGAGAGCUUUGGGAACCAUUACCAUGCUUGCU
Molecule: long non-coding RNA, 231 nt
Filed under: Lathyrus oleraceus (garden pea)
Lineage: Eukaryota; Viridiplantae; Streptophyta; Magnoliopsida; Fabales; Fabaceae
Description: Pisum sativum (pea) long non-coding RNA (PSAT_LNC009561)
Source: RNAcentral